CCAGAUAAGCCUCCACAGGUCAAAUGGCAGAGCGAGGAAUCAAACCUGGUUCUCCAGAUGAGAAUGCACCUGCUCUUAACCACUACACCACGCUGGCAGGACAAAAUACAUGGGACUUAAUUAGAUGUUGGCAAAACAUCUCCCCUCCUUCACUCCAGGCAUGGCUGCCCUUGGAUAUGGACUACCCCCGCCCCAUCUGGUUCUGUUUCUCAGCCUUGAUGCAACAAUAGGCAUUUUGCUGGUUCUUAAUCAUGGUAUUGGGCAAGUUUGCAAAAGAUCAGAUGAGACAGAAUGUGCAAGAGCCUUCUCAUACAUAUCUAUUAUGUGGACAGAGCGGGUAUGCAUUCAUUUUUUGGGCUGUAGCUCAGUUGGUAAAAUAUCUGCUUGGCAUGCAGAAGGUCCCAGGUUCAAUCCCUGCCAUCUCCAAUCGAAAAGGUCAGGCAGUAAGUGCCUGAGACCAUGGGCAGCCAGUCAGAGUAAGCUGACCUUGAUGGUCGGAUUCUUCAUGUGUUCAUUUACUACCAAGUUAUGGCCAUGUGGACUAUAGAUUUGGGUGGAUGUGAAUUCCUCCUCACUCAUACCAUGUUGGAGAUUCAUCAGUACUGAUAACUGGAUGUCAAGUUACACUGUCGGAAAUAUCAAACCUGAGAGGACUUUCGUGACUGAGUUCUCUUCUAUGCUAUAUAUAUAUAUAUAUAUAUAUAUAUAAUCUGAAUUUACAGAAAGCUAACAUAUCUGGAAGAGUGGUUGUAGCCUCGCUUUCUCCUGACCUACUGUUUUUUGUGUGGGCGUGGAGGUGAAGCAUUCACUUCCCAUUUAGAUUUUCAUAUGGUACUGCCCCAGAUGGCCGUACCCCAUCAUAGAAUCAUAGAAUCAUAUUGUUUGAAGAGCCAUCAAGUCCAAUCCCCUGCAAUGCAAGCAAAGGAGAAUCCAUGGGAACACUCUGCAAAUGAUGGCAGCCAGGAGGGCAGAAAAUGGUGGACAUGAGCUGUGGAGAAAUUUCAGACUGGAAGGACAAAGCACCUCCUUUCUCUGCACGGUGAAUAGAAAACAUCUUGACCCCGUCCUGAGGGGGAAAGAUUGCUAAUUUAGCGUUUUCAGUGGGAUGGGGGAAGGGUUGAGCAGAAAUAAAACUUCCUGAAGACAUCUUGGGCAAAAAGAAGUGCCAACUUUCUCCCCAAAAUGCUUUUUUUACCCUGUCCUCAAGACAUUUUAUUUGUGCUGUGCGGAGAAGGCCACAGUCGGCAGGCAUUUGUGGCACUCCCUGACUGAUGCACCUAGGUCAGUAGUCCUGUCUGUGGCAUAGAUUCAGGCUUCUGUUUCUACUUCUUUGUCCUGUGCUGGGCCACCAUCUUCUGUGCAGCUCUGUGAGAGGCAAAAUCACCCAAAGCAUGGGUCAGGGGCCACAUAUGUACCACAACAAUGCGAUAGACUAGUGACACUUGGAAAGGUUGGGAAUUCCUGCCUUUUGCAAUAAUGAAGUGGGGUAUGUAGUUCCAGGUCAGAGGUCAGAGACGGGCAGUAGCCCUACAAACACACGCCUGCAUCUAACUAAAGCUAGUCCCAGGUAAAUCAACGAGGCUUACCUUUAUGACAACUAACUUAUCUUGUUUUACUUCAAAAGACAUUAGCCUUGACUGAGCUUAGUUUUAUCAAUGUCCUUGGCUACGGCACAUGCAAUAAAACAAAAGAAACUCUGGAGGCACAAUAACAAGGUCUCUUCCAAGUUGUCAGAGCGCUCAGAACACAAGAUCCAUUUGGCCGUCAGCAAUAAAAGCCUAACCAGUGACUCACCAAAAAAUUCUUGCGGCACCUUCAGGACCAAUCAAUGUAUCGAGGGUUUUUGCACAUAAAUCUCUCCAGGACCCAGUCUGGAGUGAUUGUAUGGUGAGAUACAUGUUUUGUUCCUCUCACAGAUGGGAAAGACAGCGGGCGUCCAGGUGGAGCCAUAGAUGUGGGCGAAACAUUAGUAGCAAAAAUGACCAGAUCAUGGUUCCACAACCCAGAAAACUUACAACAUGCCCCAGAAUCUUUUGAAGUAGAAUUACUAACCUCCAGGCAGGGCCUGUAUUCUCCCAGAAAUACAGCUGAUUUCUAGACAACAAAGACCCCUUCCCAUGGGCAUCUUUGGAGGGUGCGUUCCCUCCUCCCUGAUGAGUUCCCUCCUCAAACUCUGUCCUCUUCAGUCACUGUCUCCAAAUCUCCAGUAAUUUCCCAGGCAGGAGUAGGCAUCCUAAAUGUGCAGGAUUCCAUGGCAGAUACACAAGUGUUCCUUGGCAAAUAAAAAAGCCAACAUGGGAAGGAUUCCCUGAAAGGGAAAAUCUGAAAGUCACUGCAGUUUAAGACACAAGAUCAGCCAGCAUCAGUGGGCUCCCAGAAGUCGAAGAUAUAGAAUCAGACCUCUGGCUAUUUCAAUAUGCAACUAGGACAGGGGUGGCCAACCUAUGGCGCUCCAGAUGUUCAUGGACUACACUUCCCAUCAGCCCUGAUUCCCCUGGUUCCCAUUGUAGUCCAUGAACAUCUGGAGCACCAUAGGUUGGCCUCCCCUGAACUAGGAAGUUUCUCAGCAUAUGAACCGAUGUAUAGUUAACCUCUCUCUUCAGGUGAUUGGACAAAUGGUUCCCAACUGUGACUUCAGCAGAGGUGAGCUUGUAAAGCUGCAGUGUGAUUUAUAGUUUCUGGUUUCCCAUUCUCCCAUUUCAAGUUGGACAAGAGAAUUUCCCAGUAACCCGAUUGUUGUUAUUUUUUUAUGAGAGACAGCUCAACAGCAAAGUAUGGGUCUUAGGGCUGGUACAGACAGCAUGGACGAGUCUGCAGCUGUGUGAAUGAAUUCCAAUUGUAAAGGGCUGUGUGAAGGAGAAAGGAAAACUCUCCCUGAUGUGUUUAAUGCAAGUUGUUCCCAAUUUGAUGAUCCAGUAGUUCAGUGGUGGAUGUCUGGGUUCAGUUUGAACUCAUUCUCAAAAUCCAGUGCCCUAAUCCAAGGGAAUGUUCCCUGUUUCUUUAAUGGAGGGAAAGUUCUAUGCAUGCAAGACAAAUACAGGAGCUAAGAAAUACACAGUUCAAAAGGUUGAUGUUUCGGUUUUGAUGCAGAGUUUAAAAUGUGGGGAAUUUUUUUUCCCCAUUAAAAUAAACUUUCUGAGUUUCUGGCACUUCCUAGCUUUCAGAUUUUUUCAUAUGGAAUUUCACAACUACUAACAAAGAUCUAAAAAAAAUCUGGACUUCACGACACUUACUAACAAAGAUCCUUAAAAAUCUGGUGUAAACAGAAACACGCGUGUCUAAGGCGAAUCAGUUUUGAAUGCAGAAUUGUGGAAUAGGAAUGCAGAAUUGAAUGCAGAAUUGUGGGAUAGGAAUGUCUGUUUGCCAGAGUGAAGGAUGUAAAAUCAAGGAAUGUAUUCAGAUUUCCAAUUUGGGGGCAAAUUUUAAUGAGAAGGAGAGAGCCACUGGAUGCUUGCUGGUGCAUUACCAACUAGGGCAAAUUUACCCAGGCACCCCGCAAUGGAUUUUUGCCCAAGUUUGACCCCUUCAUUCAGGGUAGCACUCCAGAGAUCAGACCAGCGUUGGUUUCAAGGUAGGGACUACAGAAAGAGAGAGUCCAGCUUCUAUUGUGUCACGUAGGCUGAACGCAAAAGCCAAACACGUAGCUGACUGUAUCAAGGGAAGGGGUACCAUGGGUAAAGACUCCUUCUGGUCAGUCUUCAUCCAAGGAGAUGAAGCAGAUCUGAGGGAAGGAGGUAAUUCAGCCUCCUCUGGUCUCUGCUAAUCCAAAUACUGAUGGACUCGCUAGCACAGGUUGGUCUAUCCACCCCAAUUGCUUGCUGUGUUCCAUACUUGGGUGCAUGAAAGGGAAUGGUACCUACUUUUUCUGGGCACGUUCCUGGUACACUCAGUUGUGUGCUAGAUCAUUCAGACUUACUUCUGGACAUGCCCUCAGAGGCCAUUCUUGGCUCUACCACAGUUUCUCCCUCCUCAACCCAGGAAUUUCUAGAUGCUCCUCAAGAGCAAAAAAACAGGAAAACAAAAACUAAAAAAGCCCAAAGGGGAAAACUUCCAGCAGCCAGAGGCUUGGGUUGAAUGAUGCAACUUUGCUUUUCCGCUUCCGCUUUUUUUCUUGCACCCGAGCUGUUGAAAUUACUUCGAUUUUAUACUGUGAACAAAAAAAAAAGCAUAUAUACAAAUAGCUGUAUGUAAUUUUUAAAAAAUCACAGAUCGCUAAAGGGAACUAAAAAAAUUAUAUUCAUCGGUGACGAAUCAGUGUGCAUGAUUUGAUCUGUCUUGUCUGAACAAGGAUAGCGCAACGAUCUCAGCCACCUCCUGAUGCCAACUUGCUCUGAUCUGCCAAAUGUGAACAAAUAUACUAUGUAUAUUAUAUGUACUUAUAGGAUUCAAUGGCAGCUGCUGGUGAUAUUUGUACAAUUAGAAAUCUAUAUAGGAUAUAGACAUUUUAGAGAGACGGUGCCAAUUCUAAACAAUUUUUGUGUGGGCUACAAGUGCUUGUAAUUUUUUUUUUAAUUUGCUAAUAACUUAUAAUGACAACUUGGUUUUGAAACAUUUUGUGAGUGUUUGGGGUUCUUUUUUUAACGUUGUCGCUGCUUUGAAAACUACUAAAACAAUAGAGAAUGUAAAAUUAUUCUUUUGAUGUGAACUGACUGAUUUUUUCAUAAAAAAAAAGAAAACAAACCUUAAUCUUUUUAUCGGCUCUGUUUUUGCUUUCUUACUUGUACAAAAAAUGUAAUUUAUUUUAGCAUUUUACAAAAAUACAUUUGCUUGUUUCUGGGUUGCCUACAUCAUGUUAUAAUUGGUGUUUAUGUAGAGUCGGGUACUUUUUGAACAGUAUUAAAAAAAACAAACCUGUGAUA
This is a long non-coding RNA of Sphaerodactylus townsendi, 4859 nucleotides long. RefSeq lists it as uncharacterized. The transcript has 2 exons. The record is from RefSeq and is a predicted model, not a curated record. Lineage: Eukaryota; Metazoa; Chordata; Lepidosauria; Squamata; Sphaerodactylidae.